GGAGGAGCGAGGAGGCGACGGAGGCCCUGCUGAGGAGGCUGGACUCUGUGGACGUGGAGCUGGAGAACCAGAGGAGGACGGUGGAGAGGCUGCAGGAGAGAGGAGCCUCGCUGCAGCACCUGGGACAUCCCAACAGCCACCUGGUCGGCGAGUCUCUCCCAGGUGUCCCUGAACGCUUCGAGACUCUCCUCCGACUCUCCGCCGCUCGUCGCGCCGCUCUGGAAGACCAGCGCCGCCUCUACGUGUUUGAGAGGGAAGCCAAAGAACUACAAACAUGGCUGACCUCCAAGAAGACCCUGGCGGAGUCCAAGGACUGCGGGCAAGACCUGGAGGACGUAGAGGUCCUUCAGAAGAAGUUGGAGGUUCUGGUGUCGGAGGUGUCCGGUCUGGGUCGGAGCCGGCUGACCUCGGUGCAGCAGCUGGGCGGAGGGCUGCAGCAGGACCGCGAGGCCCGGAGGAGGGACGACGCCCUCAGCGGCCUGUGGGACGACCUCAACGGCAGCAUCAGGACCAGAGAACAGAACCUGAAGUCGGCGAGGGAGGUCCAUCAGUUUCAUCACGACGUGGACGAGCUGAAGGGCUGGAUGGCCGAGAAGGAGGCCGUGCUGGACUCCGAGGACCCGGACCAGGACCUGCACUCCAUCCAGACUCUGCUGAGGCAACACGAGGCGCUGGAGAGGGACCUGGUCCUGAUCUCCGAGGAGGCCACCAGGAGCCGAGAGGAGGGCCGGGCUCUGAGCAGACGGCAGCCUCACGUCAGAGCGGCGACCGCUCGGAGGCUGGAGGAGCUGGAGGGCUGCUGGACCGGCAUCCAGGACAAGGCCUCCCAACGCCGGGCCAGACUGGACCAGGUCCAGGACGUGCAGAAGUACCUGGCCCACUGGACCG
RNAcentral lists this long non-coding RNA (888 nucleotides) under Cyclopterus lumpus (lumpfish). RNAcentral describes it as "lncRNA (ENSCLMG00005020921.1)". Lineage: Eukaryota; Metazoa; Chordata; Actinopteri; Perciformes; Cyclopteridae. The record is from RNAcentral.